UUGGGUUGUCUGCUCCGGUUGAUUGAGGGCCGCUGCUGUGCCGGGAGCCGCUUUCAAGGACCUGGGCUCCUUCCGGCUCCUCCCGCAGGAGCCUGAAGGUUGGGACCAGGAUGCCUGUCUCCAUCAACACUGUGGUCCUUCACUAACGAGCGAGCGUCAGGAGUGAACACACAGAUGGGAAGAUUCAGCCGCGUCAACAAAUAGCAAGGUCUGUGGAGAAGCCAGCUGCCAUGUCACAAGGACACUCAAGCGACCCUGGUGGAGAAGUCUACAUGGGGAACAAAGUCCUCCCCCACCAAUAACCAUGUGAGGAAAUCGUGACUCCGAGAGGUCAAUGCUCCGGGAUGUCCUAGCAAAGCCACCGGCAAAGGCAGAGG
This is a long non-coding RNA of Neofelis nebulosa (Clouded leopard), 377 nucleotides long. RefSeq lists it as uncharacterized. The transcript has 4 exons. The record is from RefSeq and is a predicted model, not a curated record. Lineage: Eukaryota; Metazoa; Chordata; Mammalia; Carnivora; Felidae.